This 143-nucleotide ribosomal RNA is filed under the name uncultured eukaryote. RNAcentral's name for it is "partial small subunit ribosomal RNA". It matches the Rfam family "Bacterial small subunit ribosomal RNA", at positions 1383 to 1525 of the family's 1533-position model. The record is from RNAcentral.
GUACACACCGCCCGUCACGCCAUGGAAGCCGGGAGUGCCCGAAGUCCGUGAUCCAACCCUCGGGGGGAAGCGGCCGAAGGCAAAUUCGGUAACUGGGGCGAAGUCGUAACAAGGUAGCCGUAGGUGAACCUGCAGAAGGAUCA